Molecule: ribosomal RNA, 253 nt
Filed under: uncultured bacterium
Lineage: Bacteria
Description: partial 16S ribosomal RNA
Rfam family: Bacterial small subunit ribosomal RNA
Source: RNAcentral
UACGUAGGGCGCAAGCGUUGUCCGGAAUCAUUGGGCGUAAAGAGCGUGUAGGCGGCCCGGUAAGUCCGCUGUGAAAGUCCAGGGCUCAACCCUGGGAUGCCGGUGGAUACUGUCGGGCUCGAGUCCGGAAGAGGAGUGUGGAAUUCCUGGUGUAGCGGUGAAAUGCGCAGAUAUCAGGAAGAACACCCGUGGCGAAAGCGGCUCUCUAGGACGGUACUGACGCUGAGACGCGAAAGCGUGGGGAGCGAACAGG